This 559-nucleotide ribosomal RNA is filed under the name uncultured bacterium. Its description in RNAcentral is "partial 16S ribosomal RNA". It matches the Rfam family "Bacterial small subunit ribosomal RNA", at positions 355 to 906 of the family's 1533-position model. The record is from RNAcentral.
UGGGGAAUUUUGGACAAUUGGGCGAAAGCCUGAUCCAGCAAUGCCGCGUGUGUGAAGAAGGCCUUCGGGUUGUAAAGCACUUUUGUCCGGAAAGAAAUCCUUGGCUCUAAUACAGUCGGGGGAUGACGGUACCGGAAGAAUAAGCACCGGCUAACUACGUGCCAGCAGCCGCGGUAAUACGUAGGGUGCAAGCGUUAAUCGGAAUUACUGGGCGUAAAGCGUGCGCAGGCGGUUUGCUAAGACCGAUGUGAAAUCCCCGGGCUCAACCUGGGAACUGCAUUGGUGACUGGCAGGCUAGAGUAUGGCAGAGGGGGGUAGAAUUCCACGUGUAGCAGUGAAAUGCGUAGAGAUGUGGAGGAAUACCGAUGGCGAAGGCAGCCCCCUGGGCCAAUACUGACGCUCAUGCACGAAAGCGUGGGGAGCAAACAGGAUUAGAUACCCUGGUAGUCCACGCCCUAAACGAUGUCAACUAGUUGUUGGGGAUUCAUUUCCUUAGUAACGUAGCUAACGCGUGAAGUUGACCGCCUGGGGAGUACGGUCGCAAGAUUAAAACUUAAAU